GAGAAUCUGUGCACAAUGAAGGAGGAAGACUCAGAUGCACAUAAAAAUGGAGAGUUUUCAGAUUCCAGUGCUUCAAGUACAACUCUCUGUGAAAAUGAGAUGGUGUUUAAACUAAGAGAGGAGCUUGAAAGUAUCGAAACAAAACUACAACAAGCACAAUCCCACUGGAAAUGCCUGAACGAUGAAAAUAAUGCCCUGCAGCAGAAGUCAGCAGAGAUGGCAGCAGCCCAGGAGAAGUGUGAGAUGCUAGAGCGCAAAAUACAGCAGCAUGAAGAGAUAAUACUCAGCCUCAAAACCCAUAUGGACCAGAACAUGGUAGAGUGCAGCGAGGUAGAAAAGCACAGGAAAGCCAUUGAAAGGCAACACAGAUGUCAAGUAAUGGAAGAAAUAAACAUAGUAAAUCGAUUAUUACACGUGACUACAGUCAUCUGUCAUGUGCUGUAAUUAACUCCACCUCAAAUUUCAAUUUCAAUGUAUUGUGUUUAUGAUUGUAUGUGUUUCUUCUGUGUUU
RNA transcript from Mus musculus (house mouse), 511 nucleotides. It is a transcript of the gene named predicted gene, 32204, with no coding region annotated. Lineage: Eukaryota; Metazoa; Chordata; Mammalia; Rodentia; Muridae. The record is from RefSeq and is a predicted model, not a curated record. The transcript has 2 exons.